RNAcentral lists this transfer RNA (68 nucleotides) under Marmota monax (woodchuck). Its description in RNAcentral is "tRNA.Ala". Lineage: Eukaryota; Metazoa; Chordata; Mammalia; Rodentia; Sciuridae. The record is from RNAcentral.
GGAUUGUAGCUCAGCGGUAGAGCGCUCGCCUAGCACGUGCAAGGCCCUGGGUUCCAUCCUCAGCACCA